This is a long non-coding RNA of Haplochromis burtoni (Burton's mouthbrooder), 1622 nucleotides long. RefSeq lists it as uncharacterized. The record is from RefSeq and is a predicted model, not a curated record. The transcript is spliced from 2 exons. Lineage: Eukaryota; Metazoa; Chordata; Actinopteri; Cichliformes; Cichlidae.
AGUGAGCUCUCUUCAGUCCUGUGACCUGACAGACCCAGAGGGGCCAUCACAUCACAUUUAGAAGCUCCCCUAAUGGAGCCACAACACAUGUCCAAUACUUAGUCUGUCUUGUUGGACCAACUGGAAGAAAUGAUUCAAGGACUUAGUCACAGAACAGAGAUUUCAAAUCUCCAAAAUCCAACUGGCUGCAUCAGGACAUAUAGUCUGAAAACUCUGCACAGUUUCCUGUUUGAAGCUGCUUCCUGUUGGCUUCAGCUGUUUGGAGUUUCCAUUUUCUAAACUUCUACAUUCUGAACCUUCUUCAGCUCUGAACAGAUGAUGAAACACUGAAUGAUUUCAAGCUCACACUUUGUCUAAUAAACUUACAUCUUUCAUUCUUUAUACAGAUUGAGAAGCUGUGGUUUGUCGAAGAUCAGCUGUGAUUAUCUGGCAGCAGCGCUGAAGUCCAACCCCUCCCAUCUGAGAGAGCUAAACCUGUGGUUAAACAAGCUGCAGGAUCCAGAUGUGAAGCAGCUGUCUGACCUUCAGCAGAGUCCAGACUACAGACUGGAGACUCUGAGGUGGAGCUGAUGAUGGUAAACAGGACGGUGAGAGAGGAUGAGCUGUGUCCCGAUUUGAUUUUUUAUUUGUAUUUUUUAAUGAAAUAUAUGAUAUAUACUCUCAUAUAUACUAUGUUAUCAUAUAUACUUGUAUACACCAUACAUAUACAUACACCUGAGUGUUUUAUAUGAUGGAAUCACUGAGCAUUUAACCUACAUGCUGAAAUCACAAGACCCAAAGGUCAAAUAUGGAAGUCCUAGUACAAUAAUAUUUGACCCAAAGGUCAAAUAUUAUCUACAAUUAUAUUAAUAAAACUUUGUGCCAUUUGCUUUGUGAACACAUGUUGAUCAAUACUGUUUGAAACAAUGUGUUAAGGCAAGCAGUGACUAGCCCAAACAUGGGGUUAAUUCAACUUGCCAAUGCUAAAGUAUGGGACCUCUUUUCUCUGCACUCAUUUGUGCUUAUCUAUUUUGGCCCCACUGGGUAUGCACCUGGGGUGCUGUUUUCUCACCUCAACCACCAGUAGGUGAGAAAAUUUCUUUCUUAGCAUAGAUAGCAGUUUACUUCAGGUAAGCGCACCUAACAAAAUUGUCGAAUUGAUUAACUUGAAUUGACACUGCAACCUUCCACGCCAUUCAAGUCACCAUGUGUCCACCCAACGCGUAGUUACGUUUGUCAGGAGGUGAACGUCAGGUCACGUGGAAGGUUACGGCGUAAGUUACUCAGAUUACUCACAGAAGUCUAAAUCAACCGUCAGUCUGAGUCGAGUCAGCCGAGGUUCAGAACAGUGGAUCCUCACAUCGCUCAUUCAGAGACUUCCUCAGGUGUUUGUGUGAGUACAGAGAGACACAGCUCUGCUUUAUUCAUAAUAAAUGGGCCUACAAUCAUUUUAUAGCACAAUCAAAUGUACGAGUGUCAUGUGACCUGGGGGAGAAAGAUAUAGAAGUCCUCCCUGACUGCGUCUACAUCACAGCUCAGAGGUUCAAAGAUCUUAAUGUCCAGCUUUAUGUGAUUAAAUAUGAUCAGAGUGCUGAAACAGAACUUUUCUCUGUUUCCUAAUAAUAAAGAAUUUUUAUUGUUAA